Molecule: ribosomal RNA, 484 nt
Filed under: uncultured bacterium
Lineage: Bacteria
Description: partial 16S ribosomal RNA
Rfam family: Bacterial small subunit ribosomal RNA
Source: RNAcentral
AUUGAACGCUGGCGGCAGGCCUAACACAUGCAAGUCGAGCGGAUGAAGGGAGCUUGCUCCUGGAUUCAGCGGCGGACGGGUGUGUAAUGCCUAUGAAUCUGCCUGGUAGUGGGGGAUAACGUCCGGAAACGGGCGCUAAUACCGCAUACGUCCUGAGGGAGAAAGUGGGGGAUCUUCGGACCUCACGCUAUCUGAUGAUCCUAGGUCGGAUUAGCUAGUUGGUGGGGUAAAGGCCUACCAAGGCGACGAUCCGUAACUGGUCUGAGAGGAUGAUCAGUCACACUGGAACUGAGACACGGUCCAGACUCCUACGGGAGGCAGCAGUGGGGAAUAUUGGACAAUGGGCGAAAGCCUGAUCCAGCCAUGCCGCGUGUGUGAAGAAGGUCUUCGGAUUGUAAAGCACUUUAAGUUGGGAGGAAGGGCAGUAAGUUAAUACCUUGCUGUUUUGACGUUACCAACAGAAUAAGCACCGGCUAACUUCGUG